GUAGGGGGCGAGCGUUAUCCGGAUUCAUUGGGCGUAAAGCGCGCGUAGGCGGCCUGUUAGGUCGGGGGUCAAAUACCGGGGCUCAACCCCGGUCCGCCCCCGAUACCGGCAGGCUUGAGUCUGGUAUGGGAAGGCGGAAUUCCCAGUGUAGCGGUGGAAUGCGCAGAUAUUGGGAAGAACACCGGCGGCGAAGGCGGCCUUCUGGGCCACGACUGACGCUGAGGCGCGAAAGCUAGGGGAGCGAACAGGAUUAGAUACCCUGGUAGUCCUAGCCGUAAACGAUGGACGCUAGGUGUGGGGGGGACCUGCCCUCCGUGCCGCAGCCAACGCAUUAAGCGUCCCGCCUGGGGAGUACGGCCGCAAGGCUA
This 368-nucleotide ribosomal RNA is filed under the name uncultured bacterium. RNAcentral's name for it is "bacterial SSU rRNA". It matches the Rfam family "Bacterial small subunit ribosomal RNA", at positions 527 to 896 of the family's 1533-position model. The record is from RNAcentral.